RNAcentral lists this unclassified non-coding RNA (245 nucleotides) under Hevea brasiliensis (rubber tree). Lineage: Eukaryota; Viridiplantae; Streptophyta; Magnoliopsida; Malpighiales; Euphorbiaceae. The record is from RNAcentral.
CAAUAACCGCCACGUCCGGUCUCCGGAUGAAUGUAAGGCCACAAUAGAAACUGCCGUGCGACGCGGCAAGAGCAACGAACGGCUGCCGCUGGUCCGAGAACCGGAUCACCAGGGCCGUUCCAACCGCUGGAGGCGGCUGCCUUGAAGGAAUUGGUGCGGACCAACGAUGUGGUGCUGGUGUCCGCGGUGGGCGCGCUGCUGGACGGCGCCAAUAUCCACCACCUCGUGCUCGACAGUAACAUGAG